AAAAAAAAAAAAAUUAAAGGAAAAAGCCUGCGGGCCGGGCCACGGGCCUCACAAUUCUUUUGGCUAGUAAUGUCACGUUUUGCUGGUCAUGGGACAUGAUUAUGAUAUGUGGCAUAAGAGUCGCAAAGGACUUUCCGUGGCUAGUAGGCUUGCUAGAUGUUGAUCAUUGUAUAAAUGUUGAAAUAUAGGAGGACGCGUGAAUUCCAUAUUCUGAUGUGCAGUCAUACAAAUAGUUAUCUUGAAGUUCUCCUUGAUUGACUCCCAAGUCCUUGAUGAUUUGUUUGUAGUUUAGAGGAGAGGACAGUCACUAAACUUCCUUUGUGGAGUUGUGCUUCAUUUGCGAAUGGAGUAACUGUUAGGUUUGUAUGUAGCGCGAUCAUACAAUCAAAUUACAUAAAAGGUGCGGAAGCGCGAUAAAACGGAAUUUAAAGUUUUUCAUACAAACCAUCAUCAUGAUCAUGCUUUGUGCAUAAUUAUCAAUCAAUAGAAAAGAGAUAGAGAUCAGAUUCAUACCCUUGUAGAAAUUAACUUCCUCAAGUACAAGUUCACCUCCAAUUCAUUUUUACGUUCAACGUGAAUCAACCGGGUUUGAUUCCUUCCUUUGAUCAAUGUUAGCCACCCAAGUGUUUGACCUCUAGAGGUAAUCCCCCAAGGAAGAAUAAGUAUUCAAGAAGAUGGGUGUUUGACAAAACUCUAAUUCUAUCUGUAUGGAAUAUUAUGUACACUCCCAACUCUUGGAAUUGUCAUCCACCCUAAAUCAAAAUAAGACUCCUCUUAUCUAUAAAUGUAGACAACCCUCC
This 800-nucleotide long non-coding RNA is filed under the name Panax ginseng (ginseng). Its description in RNAcentral is "long non-coding RNA (PGIN_LNC008910)". The record is from RNAcentral. Lineage: Eukaryota; Viridiplantae; Streptophyta; Magnoliopsida; Apiales; Araliaceae.